UAGCUCAGCGGUAGAGCACUGCCUUCACACGGCAGGGGUCGCAGGUUCGAACCCUGN
Transfer RNA from Pelomonas sp. Root1444, 57 nucleotides. It matches the Rfam family "tRNA", at positions 8 to 63 of the family's 71-position model. From Rfam's summary of the family: Transfer RNA (tRNA) molecules are approximately 80 nucleotides in length. Their secondary structure includes four short double-helical elements and three loops (D, anti-codon, and T loops). The record is from Rfam. NCBI's taxonomy places the organism in Bacteria, Pseudomonadati, Pseudomonadota, Betaproteobacteria, Burkholderiales, Sphaerotilaceae.